RNAcentral lists this ribosomal RNA (589 nucleotides) under uncultured bacterium. RNAcentral describes it as "partial 16S ribosomal RNA". It matches the Rfam family "Bacterial small subunit ribosomal RNA", at positions 355 to 1376 of the family's 1533-position model. The record is from RNAcentral.
UGGGGAAUCUUCCGCAAUGGACGAAAGUCUGACGGAGCAACGCCGCGUGAGUGAAGAAGGUUUUCGGAUCGUAAAACUCUGUCUUUUGGGGCGAACGUGAGUAUGGUGAACAAUCAUAGUCAGUGACGGUACCAAAGGAGGAAGCCACGGCUAACUACGUGCCAGCAGCCGCGGUAAUACGUAGGUGGCAAGCGUUGUCCGGAAUUAUUGGGCGUAAAGAGCGCGUAGGCGGGAUAGUCAGUCUGUUGUAAAGUGCGGGGCUCAACCCCGUGAUGGCAAUGGAAACAGCUAUUCUUGAGUGCAGGAGAGGAAAGUGGAAUUCCCAGUGUAGCGGUGAAAUGCGUAGAUAUUGGGAGGAACACCAGUGGCGAAGGCGACUUUCUGGACUGUGUCUGACGCUGAGGCGCGAAAGCCAGGGGGAGCGAACGGGAUUAGAUACCCCCGGUAGUCCUGGCCGUAAACGAUGGGUACUAGGUGUGGGAGGUAUCGACCCCUUCCGUGCCGGAGUUAACGCAAUAAGUACCCCGCUGGGGAGUACGGUCGCAAGACUGAAACUCAAAGGAAUUGACGGGGUCAUAGCUGUUUCCUG